GACGAACGCUGGCGGCGUGCCUAAUACAUGCAAGUAGAACGCUGACUACUUUAGCUUGCUAGAGUAGAAGGAGUUGCGAACGGGUGAGUAACGCGUAGGUAACCUGCCUACUAGCGGGGGAUAACUAUUGGAAACGAUAGCUAAUACCGCAUAACAGUGUUUAACACAUGUUAGAUGCUUGAAAGAUGCAAAUGCAUCACUAGUAGAUGGACCUGCGUUGUAUUAGCUAGUUGGUGGGGUAACGGCCUACCAAGGCGACGAUACAUAGCCGACCUGAGAGGGUGAUCGGCCACACUGGGACUGAGACACGGCCCAGACUCCUACGGGAGGCAGCAGUAGGGAAUCUUCGGCAAUGGGGGCAACCCUGACCGAGCAACGCCGCGUGAGUGAAGAAGGUUUUCGGAUCGUAAAGCUCUGUUGUAAGAGAAGAACGUGUGUGAGAGUGGAAAGUUCACACAGUGACGGUAACUUACCAGAAAGGGACGGCUAACUACGUGCCAGCAGCCGCGGUAAUACGUAGGUCCCGAGCGUUGUCCGGAUUUAUUGGGCGUAAAGCGAGCGCAGGCGGUUUAAUAAGUCUGAAGUUAAAGGCAGUGGCUUAACCAUUGUUCGCUUUGGAAACUGUUAAACUUGAGUGCAGAAGGGGAGAGUGGAAUUCCAUGUGUAGCGGUGAAAUGCGUAGAUAUAUGGAGGAACACCGGUGGCGAAAGCGGCUCUCUGGUCUGUAACUGACGCUGAGGCUCGAAAGCGUGGGGAGCAAACAGG
RNAcentral lists this ribosomal RNA (765 nucleotides) under uncultured Streptococcus sp. RNAcentral's name for it is "bacterial SSU rRNA". It matches the Rfam family "Bacterial small subunit ribosomal RNA", at positions 28 to 776 of the family's 1533-position model. The record is from RNAcentral. Lineage: Bacteria; Bacillati; Bacillota; Bacilli; Lactobacillales; Streptococcaceae.